This 460-nucleotide ribosomal RNA is filed under the name uncultured bacterium. Its description in RNAcentral is "partial 16S ribosomal RNA". It matches the Rfam family "Bacterial small subunit ribosomal RNA", at positions 338 to 795 of the family's 1533-position model. The record is from RNAcentral.
CCUACGGGAGGCAGCAGUGAGGAAUAUUGGUCAAUGGACGCAAGUCUGAACCAGCCAUGCCGCGUGCAGGAAGACGGCUCUAUGAGUUGUAAACUUCUUUUAUAUGGGAAUAAAAUGUUCCACGUGUGGGAUUUUGUAUGUACCAUAUGAAUAAGGAUCGGCUAACUCCGUGCCAGCAGCCGCGGUAAGAUGGAGGAUCCGAGCGUUAUCCGGAUUGAUUGGGUUUAAAGGGAGCGUAGGUGGAUUGUUAAGUCAGUUGUGAAAGUUUGGGGCUCAACCGUAAAAUUGCAGUUGAAACUGGCAGUCUUGAGUACAGUAGAGGUGGGCGGAAUGCGAGGUGUAGCGGUGAAAUGCUUAGAUAUCACGAAGAACUCCGAUUGCGAAGGCAGUUCACUGGACUGCAACUGACACUGAGGCUCGAAAGUGUGGGUAUCAAACAGGAUUAGAUACCCUUGUAGUC